Molecule: ribosomal RNA, 569 nt
Filed under: Lacticaseibacillus paracasei
Lineage: Bacteria; Bacillati; Bacillota; Bacilli; Lactobacillales; Lactobacillaceae
Description: bacterial SSU rRNA
Rfam family: Bacterial small subunit ribosomal RNA
Source: RNAcentral
CGAGUUCUCGUUGAUGAUCGGUGCUUGCACCGAGAUUCAACAUGGAACGAGUGGCGGACGGGUGAGUAACACGUGGGUAACCUGCCCUUAAGUGGGGGAUAACAUUUGGAAACAGAUGCUAAUACCGCAUAGAUCCAAGAACCGCAUGGUUCUUGGCUGAAAGAUGGCGUAAGCUAUCGCUUUUGGAUGGACCCGCGGCGUAUUAGCUAGUUGGUGAGGUAAUGGCUCACCAAGGCGAUGAUACGUAGCCGAACUGAGAGGUUGAUCGGCCACAUUGGGACUGAGACACGGCCCAAACUCCUACGGGAGGCAGCAGUAGGGAAUCUUCCACAAUGGACGCAAGUCUGAUGGAGCAACGCCGCGUGAGUGAAGAAGGCUUUCGGGUCGUAAAACUCUGUUGUUGGAGAAGAAUGGUCGGCAGAGUAACUGUUGUCGGCGUGACGGUAUCCAACCAGAAAGCCACGGCUAACUACGUGCCAGCAGCCGCGGUAAUACGUAGGUGGCAAGCGUUAUCCGGAUUUAUUGGGCGUAAAGCGAGCGCAGGCGGUUUUUUAAGUCUGAUGUGAAAG